RNAcentral lists this ribosomal RNA (253 nucleotides) under uncultured bacterium. Its description in RNAcentral is "partial 16S ribosomal RNA". It matches the Rfam family "Bacterial small subunit ribosomal RNA", at positions 524 to 776 of the family's 1533-position model. The record is from RNAcentral.
UACGUAGGUGGCAAGCGUUGUCCGGAAUUACUGGGUGUAAAGCGCGUGUAGGCGGCAGACCAAGUCGGCGGUGAAAGCGCCCGGCUCAACUGGGCGAGGUCCGUGGAAACUGGUCAGCUGGAGGACGGUAGAGGCGAGUGGAAUUCCACGUGUAGCGGUGAAAUGCGUAGAGAUGUGGAGGAACACCUGUGGCGAAGGCGCCUUGCUGGCCGAUUUCUGACGCUGAGGCGCGAAAGCGUGGGGAGCAAACAGG